CCAUGCAUGUCUCAGUGCAGCCGUACGCGUUCGCGCGUCUAGGUGAAACCGCGAAAGGCUCAUUAAAUCAGUUAUGGUUCCUUGGAUCGUACCACUCAGUUACUUGGAUAACUGUGGUAAUUCUAGAGCUAAUACAUGCCGACAGAGUUCCGACCGCCUCCGUGCGGGAGGAACGCUUUUAUUAGAUCAAAACCCAUCGGCGUGGUCUUCGGGCCACGCCGACAACACUCGGUCCCCUUCGCGGGGGCCGACCAAGUGGUGACUCUGAAUAACUUUGUGCUGAUCGCACGGUCUCAGUGCUGGCGAUGCAUCUUUCAAAUGUCUGCCUUAUCAACUGUCGAUGGUAGGUUAUGCGCCUACCAUGGUGGUAACGGGUGACGGGGGAUUAGGGUUCGAUCCCGGAGAGGGAGCCUGAGAAACGGCUACCACAUCCAAGGAAGGCAGCAGGCACGCAAAUUACCCACUCCCAGCUCAGGGGAGGUAGUGACGAAAUAUAACGAUACGGGACUCAUCCGAGGCCUCGUAAUCGGAAUGAGUACACUGUAAAACGUUUAACGAGGAUCCAUUGGAGGGCA
RNAcentral lists this ribosomal RNA (575 nucleotides) under Acizzia acaciae. Its description in RNAcentral is "SSU rRNA". It matches the Rfam family "Eukaryotic small subunit ribosomal RNA", at positions 49 to 557 of the family's 1831-position model. The record is from RNAcentral. Lineage: Eukaryota; Metazoa; Arthropoda; Insecta; Hemiptera; Psyllidae.